CUUUCCACUUCAAACCUCUUAUGGUAGUUCUUCUUUUUCCAACCAGCAGCUGAGUACAGUCAGACCAGAGAUACUCCUCAGCACCUUUUCUACAGACGAGUCGAAGCAGCAACAGACGGACGCACACCACGAGAGAGAACGCUCUCACGAGCAAUGAGUGGAAGGAGUUUACCGCCUUAGCUGUCAAUCACCGCGGCCCCGCCCAGAGCACACAGGCAAGGUGUGAUGAAGUCCCGCCCACAUUGCAGGGGAAAAUGACACAUCGCUCUCCGUUGGCGUCUGCUGGUCGAAGAAAAAAGGUCAAAAAGCUGCCGUGUGGCGAUUCUUGGUCUGCUGGCGAAGCCUCUGGACCCCCAGAAGAUCUGGACCAGAUUCCUGUCGGUCACAGGUAUCACUUGACUGGCAACCCGGAAACCCGGAAGUUACCUCAAGCAGGCUGAAGAAGCCCAUUCACAGGAGAAGAUGGCUGGAGGAGAGGGGAGGGCCGGCGUGCCAGGCAUUCCACAGCAGCACACAGUGGACACAUUA
This is a long non-coding RNA of Gasterosteus aculeatus aculeatus (three-spined stickleback), 528 nucleotides long. The record is from Ensembl. Lineage: Eukaryota; Metazoa; Chordata; Actinopteri; Perciformes; Gasterosteidae.